UUGUGUUUCUGUGUGUUUGCAUGAGUUCAUGGUGACUCACGCAGUUACAAGAAUUGGAGCGGUGCUUGAAAGGUUUGCAUAGAGAGCUCAGAGAGAGUCAGAUGAGAGGGGCUGAGCUCUCAGUGGCAGAUCCGUCUCAUAUCUCCUUUGCUGCUUAAUGUGUUCACACACAUUCAGGAUCGGCUCUGCGUCAUGGUGAAACAGGGGGUGGACCACUGGCAUCAGGGUCACGAGGAGAUAGUGUCUCUCUCCAGCUGUAAUAUGGUCCUUUUCCACUAGUUCCCAGUUGGCACAGCUUGACUUGUUUAGGGGGAUUCCCUUACAACUGAAUCGGCUCAAGUGGGUGGGCCCCAGAGACAGGCAAAGUAGUACAGUGCUCUCUGUACCAGACACAAACACAAACACAAUAAUGGAGGACAUGGUAGUGAUGUUGAACAUUUGAGAGGGACCUGGAUGGGAAAUUCUGCUCAGUCUGGCUUUUUGUCAGACUCCAUAGAAAGAUCUAGAAAAUGCUGAAAGCAGAGAUACAGAGCAAUCUCUGACCCCACCCUUCAAACAAUUAGGGACUUCACCCCAUAGCAGAUCAGUGACUUGGAUCCACAUGGAAAUUAGUACUAUAAAGGGGGCGGAAACCUGGUGCCUAUUACCAGUGGAAAUGCCCUGGAACCACGCUGAGCCAAGUGGAGCUGCGCUGCGUGGAUACUGGAGGAAAAUGGCCAAUAGAGUAAGAGGCGGGGGACACCAUAGACAGGUCACCAGUCCAUCACAGGGACACACGCAAGUCACACACUCACUCUCUCCUCGGGAGUGAACAUGACUUGAAUGUUUUUGGUCUGUGGGAAGAACCCGAAGAAAUCAACACAUGCAUGGGGAGAACAUGAUUGUUUUUAUUUUCAUUGUUGCACAACACUGUCUCUCUUUGCAUGGCAUCUUCUCCAGUCCCAUGUUCCUUAAAACCCCUCCCUGUGAGGAUACUCUCUCACAUUGAGGAGUUUUAGGGGCAGCAGUAGCUCGGGAGGUAGAGCGGGUUGCCUCAUGAUCGGAGGGUCAUGGGUUCAAUUCCAGCUCCAGCCAGGGGUAUUCUGCUGUUGUGUCCUUGGGAAAGACACCUCACCCAGCUUGCCUGUGUUAGUAGUGGUCAGAGCCACCAAAUGGCGGCCUCGCCUCUGUCAGACCGCCCCAGGGUGGCUGGGCUACAAAGUACCUUACCAUCACUAGCACUGUGUGAAUGUGAGAGUGCAUGCAAGCAUCUUUGGGUGUCCUAAACAAGCGCUGUAUUUUGAUGUAUUAUUAUUAUUAGCUUUGAUGAAGAAGUGGAGCUGGGACCUCAUAUCCUUCUCCUCCCUUUACCCAACACUGACUGGCUGACUCACUGUUGCUUUAGUUAAUGAAAUGGAGUGAACAUCCUGGAGGAGGAUGACUACUAUGGGAUUUGGAUUCCAUAUGGGGAAGUGUCAGACCUCAGCUCGCCCUCUGCUGUUCAUUUGUGGAAUCAUUCUAGAGAAGAGCAAAUUCAACUUUUACACAACAACUGAGCUGCACGCUCACACAAUGAGAUCAUCCUUUUAAUGCUCUCUAUUUGCAUCGGACAGCAGGUUUUAUUGUGUAAAGAACUGCACUCAGAAACUGAUUUCAUUUGGUAGCGUAGAUGUUUGUACCCAGUCUCUAGCACCAUAUGAAAUCAGUGUUCUGGGAGGUGGACUACCAGCAUGAACAGAUGCUGUACAUGAACAAACUAACCCAUAUCCUUAAAUCACUGUAGAUAAAGAAGGCUUCACCUUUCUGCUUCAGUCUGAGUUUAUUUAGGUUUAUCAGAUUAAUAUAAGCAUGUUUCAGCUCUCUUGGUCAUUCUUAGAUUUGUUACUGUCAGGGUUUGGUGUUUUAACUUUGACUGUUCUGCAUUAUAUUAUUCACACAUUUUUCUGAUACUUGUUGUCUUCUUUACUCUUUUUUCCACUAUUAUCUCAUAAAUAAGUUUUUGUCAUAAUUAAGAUUAACAAACUCAGUUUAAUGAAAGUGUCUUGUUCUUGAUCAAUCUUGCUGUUCCUUAACCAAAUAAAUAAACCUAAUUAUCACAUUGAGUAUAAAUCAGCAA
Non-coding RNA from Nothobranchius furzeri (turquoise killifish), 2095 nucleotides. NCBI's taxonomy places the organism in Eukaryota, Metazoa, Chordata, Actinopteri, Cyprinodontiformes, Nothobranchiidae. The record is from RefSeq and is a predicted model, not a curated record.